This 303-nucleotide ribosomal RNA is filed under the name uncultured bacterium. RNAcentral describes it as "partial 16S ribosomal RNA". It matches the Rfam family "Bacterial small subunit ribosomal RNA", at positions 507 to 808 of the family's 1533-position model. The record is from RNAcentral.
AGCAGUCGCCACGGUAAUACGUAUGUCACAAGCGUUAUCCGGAUUUAUUGGGCGUAAAGCGCGUCUAGGUGGUUAUGUAAGUCUGAUGUGAAAAUGCAGGGCUCAACUCUGUAUUGCGUUGGAAACUGUGUAGCUAGAGUACUGGAGAGGUAGGCGGAACUACAAGUGUAGAGGUGAAAUUCGUAGAUAUUUGUAGGAAUGCCGAUGGGGAAGCCAGCUUACUGGACAGAUACUGACGCUGAAGCGCGAAAGCGUGGGUAGCAAACAGGAUUAGAGACCCCUGUAGUCCCUGUCUCUUAUACA